GAAGUUGGCGAAGGAGUAUUGCCUCUUUAGUCCUAUUUUCGGUGCAGUUGUUUCUUUCCCGGGGAGGGCAUUGCUGGAUCCGAUAUGUCGCCCUUUUGUAUUGCUUCCAUCGGGUGGGAUCUUUACUCUGUUCUGUUGUGGUGGGAGCAUGGUUGCUGGGACCUUUUGGGGCGACACAACCGGUGAAACUGCUGCUAGCCUCAACGAGGAAGAUCUCGUCCAGAGGUGGUGAAAAAUAACAAGUCCUUACGAAUAAUACAAGGAACAGAUACUUGUGUUGAAUGUUGUAUGUAGCCAGGGUUCCAGGGCCGGCAGGGCAUUCAAUGGCAAAUAGCAACUCUCUGUGUAGGCAUAUUAGCGGAGCUCAGCACUCCGAUCAUGGGAUUAUCGGUCCCAGAAUAAAAUGCUACACCACAUAGGUUUUUUUCUAUAUAUGUUAAACUUUGGAGGUUGAGCAGCUUGGUAACGGUACUAGUAAC
This 479-nucleotide small RNA is filed under the name Histoplasma capsulatum var. duboisii H88. RNAcentral's name for it is "Histoplasma capsulatum H88 hypothetical RNA". Lineage: Eukaryota; Fungi; Ascomycota; Eurotiomycetes; Onygenales; Ajellomycetaceae. The record is from RNAcentral.